Kockovaella imperatae is the source of this 82-nucleotide transfer RNA. It matches the Rfam family "tRNA". From Rfam's summary of the family: Transfer RNA (tRNA) molecules are approximately 80 nucleotides in length. Their secondary structure includes four short double-helical elements and three loops (D, anti-codon, and T loops). Further hydrogen bonds mediate the characteristic L-shaped molecular structure. tRNAs have two regions of fundamental functional importance: the anti-codon, which is responsible for specific mRNA codon recognition, and the 3' end, to which the tRNAs corresponding amino acid is attached (by aminoacyl-tRNA synthetases). tRNAs cope with the degeneracy of the genetic code in two manners: having more than one tRNA (with a specific anti-codon) for a particular amino acid; and 'wobble' base-pairing, i.e. permitting non-standard base-pairing at the 3rd anti-codon position. Lineage: Eukaryota; Fungi; Basidiomycota; Tremellomycetes; Tremellales; Cuniculitremaceae. The record is from Rfam.
GGACAUAUCGUAUAAUGGUUAGUACAUGAGAUUCUGAUUUUAAUCAAUUCUCGAAACCCAGGUUCGAUCCCUGGUAUGUCCU